CAGGUUUCAGCCAAGAGCGGAUUUGAAAAGUUUCCAGUCUGCUUCACGAUCCUCUUGACUGGCUUGGUCCCUUGUACACGUGGUGGUGAGUGGGGCUCUUUAGGACCCGACCUUAAGACAAGAGGUUAAACUGCUUUUAACGGAGCUCAGUUGUGGAUCUCUCCUGUUGUAUUUCUUCUUUCACCCACAGGGAGGCUCUGAGGAGGAUGCAGUCUGGAUCCCAGCACAGCCAGUCUCCUUGAGCGGCCCAGAUUGGAAAAGUAAGAGCCCAGUGGUUCCACUUCUGUUCCCCCACGGCGAGAGCAGCCUGUGUGGGAUACUGCUGCCCGACCAGCUGUGGAAAGGGGAAGAGAGGGUGCCCUCAUCGUCAUCAGAUGAUGAGGGUGCUUCUGGGUACUGUUUAAUCCUGCUUCCUGCAGUAAAUUAAAGAAACUUUCUCCUUUCCCCCACUUUUUCCCUAAAAGGAGAAAGUCCACUUUCCAACACUCUCGUCCAACUUGGCUGGACACCAGCUGCCUGGCACUGAGUGCAGAGGACGGGCUAGGAAAAAGGGAGGGCCACUUGUUUUCCUCUUGACAGCAUUGCUGAGACCUUGGGGGAGGAAAAAAGCAUGGGAAUGGGAGAUUAAAAUGAAAAUUCUCCGUUCAUCUGCGCAUGGGGUUAUUGGAAUGAACACUCAUCCAAGUCUUCCUACGAGGAGAUCAAAGCGCCACUCUGCUGUGCGUCUUUAGGGUGAUUUCCUGAAGAAACAAGAAUUACUGAAUUGUGCUCCAAGAGCUCUUUGAACCCCUUGCCUGCUUCCACCCUGAUUUGAGAGUGCUGUAGAGGCCUCAAAACUAUUUUAUUCCUACGGGUAGAGUGAACAUAAUGGGGAAGGAACAACCCUGCAGGUCCCUCAAGGGAGAGAGGCCGCAGCAUGAGCGUCCCAUCACACGUACCAGGACAUGGGGACUUCUUGCAACCAAGCCGUUGCUUUUUGCCCCUUGGGCUUUCCUCCAGAGCCAGCAGCUCUCAAACACCAUCUGCCUCUUCUGCGAUGGGUGCCGAGAAGGGGAAGACCUCCUGCACUAGGGGCGGCGUGCUGGGCUGGUGUUGGGAAGGUGCUGGAGAGGGACCAGCGCUGCUGAGGCUGCUCUGAGGGCACGUUUCACCCCUCCCCAGAGUCACCUCUGCUGUGGCACGUUGGCUGGGACCAGACCAAAUGCCAGCGGGUGACAUCUCCCAGCGUAACUUCGCCUCUCCCUGUUCAAACUCCCCGGCAAGCGCCCGCGGUAAAUCCUCGCUCGGGAUGGGGCCCGCAGAGGUGGCUGCAGCAGCCUGGCACUGAACAGCCCCCAGGGGUGGGUGGGGGUCACCGGGUGAUGCUGGGGGGAAGCAGCCCUGCUCUUCCAGCACCGGCAGCGUUUCUCAGCACGAGCACAAGCUUUUCCCAUUCGUGGAGGCGCCCAGACCAGACUCUGGGUUUCUCGGCUUUUCUGGGGGAUGUCCCCGGCUGUCACCGCUCCCUGAACAGUGGCCAAACCCUUUACCAGAAGGAAACAAAUGCUGUGAGUGAUUUAUACGUGCUUUCGGGUGAAAAUAUUUCUGUGUGUUUGCAUAAUGUUUGUGGAGCUCACGCUAUCUGCUGGUAUCUGUCCAGUUGCUGGGUUAUUUGCUCAGUGAUCUAAUCCUCCUUGUCAGAUCAGCGUUAAAGCGUACUUCCAGGGCUCCCUUCCUGCAACUGCAUGUUCACACUCUCCUCUGCUUCACUGCUUGGGAACCAGCUGGGGGCUUUAUUUUUUUUUUUUUUUCCUGCUACAUCACCAGUCCACAGCUGGGCUUCUCCUAGCCCUACCUCAGGAGUCUGCUGUGCCCAAAUGUCAUGGUGGUGGGAUCUGAAAGCAGCUUUUACUGAUUCAUCUACGUGCUGGGGGGGUCUGGGAGGAAUAUUUAAUCCCAGCGAUGUCAUGUACCAUGGCAAAUAAUUUGGUUUCGGUCCAGAGGGGGCAAACCACUGGGAGAAACGCUCCAGUCUGGAGACACUGGGGAGAGACUGAGGCUGUUUCCCAGAGAAAAGACACAUUGUAUGGGUGAUGAGAGGCUGGGAGGAGAGUGUAUGCAGUGAGCAAGGAGACUUCAAAAUCAUUGAAAGCAUGAAAAAAGAGGGAUGGAGGGUUGUGGUGGAAAGCUGGGAAGUGAAGAAAGGACCACGCUCUCACAUGGAUUUACCAAAAUCCACAAUUAAAGCAGAUUUAUAGUGGUAGCAGC
This is a long non-coding RNA of Tyto alba (common barn owl), 2247 nucleotides long. RefSeq lists it as uncharacterized. The record is from RefSeq and is a predicted model, not a curated record. Lineage: Eukaryota; Metazoa; Chordata; Aves; Strigiformes; Tytonidae. The transcript has 3 exons.